This 260-nucleotide unclassified non-coding RNA is filed under the name plant metagenome. RNAcentral describes it as "partial contains small subunit ribosomal RNA and internal transcribed spacer 1". The record is from RNAcentral.
AAAUGUCGUAACAAGGGUUUCCGUAGGUGAAUCCUGCGGAAAGGUCAUUUAUUGAGAUAGUCAGAAGCCUAUUAGGUCACCCAAAGCGCUUGAAAUAUUAGCGGAAUGGGCAGUAAUACAAUCGGCAUGACCGUUUGAAUCCAAGGGCAGCUAUCCACCCGUGUAUAUAUACUCUGUUGCUUUCCAGGGCGUCAUACCCCGGAGAGAACCCUAACUCUUGAAUUUAAUGGAACGUCUGAGUACUAUAUAAUAGUUAAAAU